GGACAAAUGACAGUCUAUCACACAGCAUGCUUUCAAAGAAAGAGGGGACCUAUUCCAGAACCGCAGCACUGGAGCGGCUUUUAACAACAUAAGCAAAAUAAGAAGCCAACAUCAGUUUUUUCCUCCCUUAUUUCUCCCCCUGUUGUUGAAUGAAUGGCAGCACAACAUUUGGGAGCUUUUUAAAGCCUUGGGAAUAUCGAUUCCACUGCCCACCAUCUGAGAGAGUGAUGGGAUAAUGGGAGCUUGCCAGAAGUGCCGCACACUCUCUGGCUGCUACCUGGCAUGAUUUCAUCUCCUUCCCUGGCCAACCUACCUCUAUGGUGCGGGUUGGCAUCUCUACAAAGUGGUUUUCAGAGGCUACCAAUACUGAAUGUUGGCUGAUGGGUGUGGAGUCUGGCAUGACUAGAAAAGAAGAGCAUGGGACUCAGAUUGGUGGUACCUGACACUGAAAUUGACUCUUGGAGGACAAAUAAAAGUAAGUCAGGCAAAAAAGGUUAUAAGGGCAAUCCACAGAGGUAAAGUAUGAUGUGUAGAAGGCAUGUUUUAUGUGACAUCACUGUUUCCUAAUUCCCUUCUUACUUCAUCCUUCUCAAUAUCUGCA
This 601-nucleotide long non-coding RNA is filed under the name Canis lupus familiaris (dog). RNAcentral's name for it is "lncRNA (ENSCAFG00845004025.1)". Lineage: Eukaryota; Metazoa; Chordata; Mammalia; Carnivora; Canidae. The record is from RNAcentral.